Molecule: non-coding RNA, 122 nt
Filed under: Palpitomonas bilix
Lineage: Eukaryota
Source: RNAcentral
CGACUUGUGACGGAUGAAAGGCAGAGAAGACGGAGGACGCGCUGAGAUGGGGGCAAGGGUGAUGGUAGCAAGGCAGGCGAAAACAUUGCUGCAAUGAUCAUCACAGAUGUAAAAGGCGGUGA